This 540-nucleotide ribosomal RNA is filed under the name uncultured organism. RNAcentral's name for it is "bacterial SSU rRNA". It matches the Rfam family "Bacterial small subunit ribosomal RNA", at positions 933 to 1467 of the family's 1533-position model. The record is from RNAcentral.
UGGAGCAUGUGCUGUAAUUCGAUGCAACGCGAAGAACCUUACCUGGGCUUGACAUGGGAGUGAAAUCCCGUAGAGAUACGAGACUUUCCUUCGGGAACACUCCACACAGGUGCUGCAUGGUCGUCGUCAGCUCGUGUCGUGAGAUGUUGGGUUAAGUCCCGCAACGAGCGCAACCCUCGCCAUUAGUUGCCAGCGGGUAAUGCCGGGAACUCUAGGGGGACUGUCUGGUACAACCAGGAGCAAGGUGGGGAUGACGUCAAAUCAUCAUGGCCAUUACGCCCAGGGCUAGACACGUGCUACAAUGGCUGGUACAACGGGCUGCAAGCUCGCGAGAGCAAGCCAAUCCCUAAAAACCAGCCUCAGUUCAGAUUGGAGUCUGCAAUUCGACUUCAUGAAGGUGGAAUCGCUAGUAAUCGCGGAUCAGCAUGCCGCGCUGAUACGUUCCCGGGCAUUGUACACACCGCCCGUCAAGCCACGAAAGAUGGUAGUACCCGAAGUCGCUACUCUUACCCGCAAGGGAGGAGGGCGCCGAAGGUAAGA